RNAcentral lists this non-coding RNA (29 nucleotides) under Mus musculus (house mouse). Lineage: Eukaryota; Metazoa; Chordata; Mammalia; Rodentia; Muridae. The record is from RNAcentral.
UACUCGUUCCUACAAGGCAGCCUUUGCAC